UACGGGGGGGGCAAGCGUUGUUCGGAAUUACUGGGCGUAAAGGGCUCGUAGGCGGCCAACUAAGUCGGAUGUGAAAUCCCCAGGCUUAACCUGGGAACUGCAUCCGAUACUGGAUGGCUUGAAUCCGGGGGAGGGAUGCAGAAUUCCAGGUGUAGCGGUGAAAUGCGUAGAUAUCUGGAGGAAUACCGGUGGCGAAGGCGGCAUCCUGGACCGGCAUUGACGCUGAUGAGCGAAAGCUAGGGGAGCAAACGGG
This 253-nucleotide ribosomal RNA is filed under the name uncultured bacterium. Its description in RNAcentral is "partial 16S ribosomal RNA". It matches the Rfam family "Bacterial small subunit ribosomal RNA", at positions 524 to 776 of the family's 1533-position model. The record is from RNAcentral.